Pangasianodon gigas (Mekong giant catfish) is the source of this 72-nucleotide non-coding RNA. The record is from the annotation of a GenBank genome assembly. Lineage: Eukaryota; Metazoa; Chordata; Actinopteri; Siluriformes; Pangasiidae.
CACCAGAAUCCACAGCUGUCACAUCUUCGACAUCACCAAGUUCUUCUGCUGGAACAACUGCAGAAACGACAC